RNAcentral lists this ribosomal RNA (364 nucleotides) under uncultured bacterium. RNAcentral describes it as "bacterial SSU rRNA". It matches the Rfam family "Bacterial small subunit ribosomal RNA", at positions 28 to 385 of the family's 1533-position model. The record is from RNAcentral.
GAUGAACGCUAGCGGCAGGCUUAACACAUGCAAGUCGAGGGGCAGCAUGAAGGUUAGCAAUAACCUUUGAUGGCGACCGGCGCAAGGGUGCGUAACGCGUGAGCAACUUGCCCGUUUCUGGGGAAUAACCGGUGGAAACGCCGACUAAUACCCCAUGGCAUCAGAUUGAGGCAUCUUAAUCUGAUUAAAGAAUUUCGGAAACGGAUAGGCUCGCGUGACAUUAGCUGGAUGGCGGGGUAACGGCCCACCAUGGCUACGAUGUCUAGGGGUUCUGAGAGGAAGGUCCCCCACACUGGAACUGAGACACGGUCCAGACUCCUACGGGAGGCAGCAGUGAGGAUAUUGGUCAAUGGUCUGACGACUG